UCCCCGUCCUUCUGGCGCAUGUACGCCACGACGUCAUCGCGUCAUGUUUCAGUUUUUGCCUGGUUGAACCAUAGAGCGUGUAAAGGAACUAGUGAGGACCUAGAGAGGGGUCAGGCGGUGAGGCUGAGGAAGUAACGGGAAACAGCCUCUACUGUGCAUGUUGAGGAAUCCAAAGGGUGUGUGAAGGAAGAACUACUUUGGCACCUUUGAUCUGAGGUGUAAUGCCGUGCUGGGACCAAUCGGUACAGAGGACCAUAGCAGCCAGGUGAGCUCCUGCAGAGUGCCCACACAGGUAUACUCCACUGUGAACAGGUAAGAAAAUACUAUCAAUUACCGGAAACUGAUCACUGCGGCUUUCAACUGGGAUUCAGUUCCAGUCAGGCCUGCAGAGUAUCUAACAGCCUUUUGAAUGGCAGCCAAAGGGCCUUCCCUUACCUGAUGUGGGAAUACUGCUGAACAAUGGACACAAUGCUACGCCGCACCUGAGAUACCAUCAAAUCCAUAUUACCUGGUGAGAGACGGAGAGAAAUCUCAAUGAAAGCAAGACAGAGAGACGUGAAUGGAAAAAAGGGUCAAGAAAGAAGAAGAUGUGGUGGGGGAGGGGUCUGUGUGCAAGGGAAGGAGGAGAAAAUGGAAUAAUACCAUGGAAGAGAAGGAGGAAUUGAAAAAUGUGUGUGAGAGAGAGAGAGAGAGUGAGAGAGGGUGAGAGAUAGAGAGUCAGCAUGUGAGAGAGAGUGAGAGAGAGAGAGAGAGAGAGAGAGAGAUGUCCUCAAGUCACAAAUUUGCAUUUGACAGAACACCUGCUACAUCAAUACGCCUACCUUUAGGGGCGAUGUCAUAAUCUACAGCAGCCACGGCCACGCCCUUCUGUACCAGAGGCACUGCAAUGAAACCUGACUCCUCUUUGCUG
Long non-coding RNA from Anguilla anguilla (European eel), 910 nucleotides. RefSeq lists it as uncharacterized. NCBI's taxonomy places the organism in Eukaryota, Metazoa, Chordata, Actinopteri, Anguilliformes, Anguillidae. The record is from RefSeq and is a predicted model, not a curated record. The transcript is spliced from 2 exons.